Spinacia oleracea (spinach) is the source of this 2439-nucleotide RNA transcript. RefSeq lists it as uncharacterized. The record is from RefSeq and is a predicted model, not a curated record. The transcript has 6 exons. Lineage: Eukaryota; Viridiplantae; Streptophyta; Magnoliopsida; Caryophyllales; Amaranthaceae.
AAUAAUUGUGGGGUCAUUCCUAAUUUAGAAGUGUAACAACUAAUCUGAGACAAACGAAAAAGGAAAGUGUUCCGGUGAGAACACUUCUUUACAUGAGAAUACAUUUUGUAUAUGAGAACAAAUCCUGGCCCUUGAAACUGAUACAUCUCAACAGUUAAUACGUUCUCUUCAUACAACUCGAUUCUCUUCCCACUUUGCCCUCUCAUUUUCACGACAUUCUUUUUCCUCCAUCUCCAUUGAAGCUUCUUCUUCAAGCUUCUUCCUCCAUUAAAUCUUCUUCUUCCUAGGUUCUUUCGAGGUUUUUUUGAGCUUCUUUCUCCAUUAAAGGUCGUUCUGAACUUUGUCUUCUCUAUUUCUCCUCCAAUUGCUCAUUCAGAAAACCCUAAAUCAAGUGUUUAGAAAGAUAUUAAGUUCAUAAAUGUACCUAUGGAUCGGUAGGUUAAAGACGGGUAGCAUUUUUCUGAAGAUGAGCUUCAGCUUCUCUGCAAAUUGGUAAAAAUUAUGAAAUUGUGAAGAAAUAUUGGAAGAAUGGCGAAAAACGAACCAAAAAAGAAGAGGAGGCUAAGCUAACUCGAGCCAUCACAAGCGAUCAUUCUUUGGAAGUUGCACAAGUAAGAGAAGAAUAAGGAAUGCAAGUUAUUGUGAGGAGAGAGAGUGAGAAGGUCAAGACAUUUUCCAGAAUGUCCCCUGCCACUUUGUAUAAGCUACUUGUGGGUAAUAGGAACUUCAAGGGUUUGACUGAAAAACAAAAAGAUGAUGUUCAUGCAAUAGGAUUUGGUAGAUUAUUAGAUCUACUGAUAGAAGAGUUGCCAUGGGAUCUCUGUCGGUGGCUAGUUAAAUUUUUUGAUCAUUUUCAUUCCUCUCUUCUUUUGGAUACGGGUAAAAUGAAAAUAACAUUAGAUGAUGUUUAUGUUUCUUUGGGAUUGCCAAGAGGUGCAAAAAAGGUUAUUGAAGCAAAGGCUAGGGAUCCUAGUGUUGAGUAUACAAAAAUUGUUAGCGAUUGGUUUCAUAAUUUAGGAGUUAACAAUACUGUGAAAGUGGGGGAUAUUGUGAAGAAUAUUAAGGUUCUGGUGGAUGGAGGGGAAAUAUUUAAGAGGAGCUUUGUCGUUCUUGUAGUUUCAACAUUGUUGAAUGGAAAUAAAAAUGCUAAAGCAAACUACAAGAUAUUGAAAUCUUUAGGGGAUGUUAAUGAUGUUAAGGACAUGAAUUGGUGCCAAUACACAUUAGAAGCUCUAUGUGAUUGUAGUAGGGAAUGGCACGCCGAAAAUGGAGAUGGUUUGUUUAAAGGGCCUCCUAUAGUUCUACUGAUUUGGGAGUGAAGGAAAGACUUCUUCAGAAAUGGUGGCACAAAUAAGUAGUCACAUCUCUCAGAAAAAUGAAAACGAGUUCCUAAAAAAAUCGGAGAGGAAAUAUGUUGAUGAGAUUCUUGAAAUGCAGGAGGUUUGCAACUGUGUGACAUUAGCCACUAUCGACUCUAUUGAGCUUGAGAAUAGUUGGUUCUACCUUGCAUGUAAGAAAGACUACAAGAAAGUUCAAGAUCAAAAAAUUGAUGAGCUAACGAAGUUUUGGUGCGAAAAGUGCAAUAAUUAUGUAGAUCCUGUUCCAAGGUUCAAACUUCAAGUAAGGGUGAUGGAUGAAUCAGGAAGUGCUUCAUUUGUUAUUUUUGAUCGCGAGGUGGUACAAAUCUUAGGAAAGUUUGCAUUGCAUAUAAGAGAAUGCCGAAUAAAGAUUGUUCCUAUAUAUGUUACUAUAUACGGAUAUUUCAUGAAAUGCCCUUAAGUUUUUCCAUAAUUCACCAAACGCCCAUCAAGUUUCAAUAAUUCAUAAAAUACCCCUCACAAUUCGUACAAAUACCCAACAUACCCUUACUAAUAACGGACCGUUAGUCUGCCGUUAGCCAAGUUUUCUAUUCACCCAAAUGCCCCUAUUCUGAAACUUAUUUCACCAAAUGCCCCUAUUGUGAAACUUAUUUCACCAAAUGCCCCAAACUUAAGUAUAGCUAUUUUGAUGUUUCAGCGACUAGUUUUUGUGUUUGAAAGGUAGCUAUUGGUCACGGUUGACUAUAAAAGCCCCUUUGCUGAAUGGUUCUUGAAAUUUGUCAUUCGAAGCUUUGAUACAACACUCAAUCCACAAAGGUUGUACUACAAGUGUGAUCCUUGAAACAAUCUGAGAUGGUGAAAGGGAGUAGUUGAGCAAAAAAACAAGGGGCAACAACACGAAGGACAAUGCGGGGGAAGCUUAGGCGAAGGAGAAAGUAUUGAAAACAGGCGAAACAGUAAGAUGCAAGAAGAAUUGAAGCAAAUGAAGAAGAAGCUAAAACAACAACAAAAAGUAGUCAAAGUUGUAAUACAAAUGGGGAUAUUGAUGUUUGUAAUUUUACUGUUUGUAAUCAUGAAGUAAACACAAGUAAUGAGAAACAAAUUCACAUUUCAUAAAUAA